AAUAUUGGACAAUGGGCGCAAGCCUGAUCCAGCCAUGCCGCGUGAGUUAUCAAGGCCUUAGGGGUGUAAAGUUCUUUCAGUGUGGAAGAUAAUGACGUUACCCACAGCAGGAGCCCCGGCUAACUUCGUGCCAGCAGCCGCGGUACUACGAAGGGGGCUAGCGUUGUUCGGAUUUACUGGGAGUAAAGCGCAUGUAGGCGGAUUGGUCAGUUAGGGGUGAAAUCCCGGAGCUCAACUCCGGGAAUGCAUUUAAUACUGACAGUCUAGAGACCGAAAGAGGUGAGUAGAACUCAUAGUGUAGAGGUGGAAAUCGUAGAUAUUAGGAAGAAAACCAGUGGCGAAGGCAGCUCACUGGCUCGGUACUGACGCUGAGGUGCGAAAGCGUGGGGAGCAAAC
This 396-nucleotide ribosomal RNA is filed under the name uncultured bacterium. Its description in RNAcentral is "partial 16S ribosomal RNA". It matches the Rfam family "Bacterial small subunit ribosomal RNA", at positions 360 to 773 of the family's 1533-position model. The record is from RNAcentral.